RNAcentral lists this ribosomal RNA (744 nucleotides) under uncultured bacterium. RNAcentral describes it as "bacterial SSU rRNA". It matches the Rfam family "Bacterial small subunit ribosomal RNA", at positions 8 to 796 of the family's 1533-position model. The record is from RNAcentral.
AGAGUUUGAUCCUGGCUCAGAGCGAACGCUGGCGGCAGGCUUAACACAUGCAAGUCGAACGGGCAUAGCAAUAUGUCAGUGGCAGACGGGUGAGUAACGCGUGGGAACAUACCUCUUGGUUCGGAACAACACAGGGAAACUUGUGCUAAUACCGGAUAAGCCCUUACGGGGAAAGAUUUAUCGCCGAGAGAUUGGCCCGCGUCUGAUUAGCUAGUUGGUGUGGUAAAGGCGCACCAAGGCGACGAUCAGUAGCUGGUCUGAGAGGAUGAUCAGCCACAUUGGGACUGAGACACGGCCCAAACUCCUACGGGAGGCAGCAGUGGGGAAUAUUGGACAAUGGGCGCAAGCCUGAUCCAGCCAUGCCGCGUGAGUGAUGAAGGCCUUAGGGUUGUAAAGCUCUUUUGUACGGGAAGAUAAUGACGGUACCGUAAGAAUAAGCCCCGGCUAACUUCGUGCCAGCAGCCGCGGUAAUACGAAGGGGGCUAGCGUUGCUCGGAAUCACUGGGCGUAAAGGGUGCGUAGGCGGGUUUUUAAGUCAGAGGUGAAAUCCUGGAGCUCAACUCCAGAACUGCCUUUGAUACUGAAAGUCUUGAGUAUGGGAGAGGUGAGUGGAACUGCGAGUGUAGAGGUGAAAUUCGUAGAUAUUCGCAAGAACACCAGUGGCGAAGGCGGCUCACUGGCCCAUUACUGACGCUGAGGCACGAAAGCGUGGGGAGCAAACAGGAUUAGAUACCCUGGUAGUCC